RNAcentral lists this transfer RNA (435 nucleotides) under Acer japonicum (downy Japanese maple). Its description in RNAcentral is "partial transfer RNA-Leu". The record is from RNAcentral. Lineage: Eukaryota; Viridiplantae; Streptophyta; Magnoliopsida; Sapindales; Sapindaceae.
AAAAUCCGUCGACUUUAGAAAUCGUGAGGGUUCAAGUCCCUCUAUCCCCCCAAAAAGACCGAUUUGACUAUUUCUCCUACCCUCUCUUUUUUUUAGUGGUUCAAAAUUUGUUCUCUUUCUCAUUCAUUCUACCUUUUUACAAACGUAUCAGAGCAGAAUUUUUUUCUUUUAUCACAAUCACAAGUGGUGUGGUAUAUAUGAUAUACGUACAAAUGAACAUCUUUGAACAAAGAAUCCCGAUUCACAAUUCAUAUCAUUGCUCAUACUGAAACUUAUAAAUUAUUCUAUUCAAGAAAUCUAAUUCCACGCUCAAGACUUUUAAUACUUUUUUUAUCUUUUUUAAUUGACAUAGACCCCAGUCAUCUAGUAAAAUAAGGAUGAUGCGCCGGUAAUGGUCGGGAUAGCUCAGCUGGUAGAGCAGAGGACUGNAAAUCC